UGGGGAAUUUUGGACAAUGGGGGCAACCCUGAUCCAGCAAUGCCGCGUGUGUGAAGAAGGCCUUCGGGUUGUAAAGCACUUUUGUCCGGAAAGAAAACUUCGGGGCUAAUACCCCUGGAGGAUGACGGUACCGGAAGAAUAAGCACCGGCUAACUACGUGCCAGCAGCCGCGGUAAUACGUAGGGUGCGAGCGUUAAUCGGAAUUACUGGGCGUAAAGCGUGCGCAGGCGGUGCUGUAAGACCGAUGUGAAAUCCCCGGGCUUAACCUGGGAACUGCAUUGGUGACUGCAGCGCUGGAGUAUGGCAGAGGGGGGUGGAAUUCCACGUGUAGCAGUGAAAUGCGUAGAGAUGUGGAGGAACACCGAUGGCGAAGGCAGCCCCCUGGGCCAAUACUGACGCUCAUGCACGAAAGCGUGGGGAGCAAACA
RNAcentral lists this ribosomal RNA (427 nucleotides) under Bacillota bacterium. RNAcentral's name for it is "Firmicutes bacterium partial 16S ribosomal RNA". It matches the Rfam family "Bacterial small subunit ribosomal RNA", at positions 355 to 774 of the family's 1533-position model. The record is from RNAcentral. Lineage: Bacteria; Bacillati; Bacillota.